Long non-coding RNA from Morus notabilis, 1759 nucleotides. RefSeq lists it as uncharacterized. The transcript is spliced from 5 exons. The record is from RefSeq and is a predicted model, not a curated record. NCBI's taxonomy places the organism in Eukaryota, Viridiplantae, Streptophyta, Magnoliopsida, Rosales, Moraceae.
GAGUUACUUCCUUUAUUUAGCUGCCGAAGGAAAAAGGUGAAGUUCAUUUUUUAUUCUGGAGAGUAAAAUUAGGGCUUGAUUUGGAUUUUCAUUGAGCCUAUAAGAGGGGAUUUUUUCCUUUAUUCAAAUUGUUCAUGUAACUUGACUCUUUGAGGUUUCUAAUGAUUGUUUUGCUUCCGUAAUAGUGCUUAUCGUAGCGACUUUUAUAAUUCAAUUGAUUGCUUUUCCACGGGUUUCAUGGAUUCUGCCGCAGCAUUUUCUGCUCAGCCGCUUCAAUUUGAUUUAUGAUUGUAUUUACCUGUCUACCGAAUUCAUGGUUUUAGAAAAAUGUUUGGAUUUAUUCAGCCCUCAAAUCGAACCCAAGCAUUCGUUUCUCUGUCGUUUUUGUUCCUCUGCAUUUCCUUCUAAUCUCUCGUUUCUAAACUGGGUUAAGGACAAGAAAGGUUUGGUUCUUCAUUCCCCUCCCCCCUACAAAGCCGAUUUCAUUAGGAGAGACAUGGCUUAAGUUAUUAAUUGGUUUUAUGAAUACGGGUUGAGGAAGUUGAAUAGAAAUUGUUGUUAGCAAGGACUUUUUAUUUAUGGUAUUACUUUGCCCAACCACCGUGAUCUCAAAAUUUCACUGAUUCUCUCAGGGAAAAACAGGUAGAGUGGGUUUUAUUUCAUUGAUAUUUCUAUUCUGAUUAUUUUGAGACAGAUGCGGAUGAUUUUUCUGCCUUUUGAUCCGCUGAACGCAUUGUUUGUGAUGAUAUAUUGGCAUUGAAAAACUUUGAUUCGCUGGAAAGAUUCAAACCUUCGUUUUAUUGUUUUUUUUUUCUUUUUUUCCUUAAAAAUUGACAGAGGCACUGGCAUAAUUUGCAUUUCCCGUAAGUAGUGAAACAUAAAUGUCAUAAUCAUGCUUUUUCUUUCUAGUUCAAAUAAAAUUGGGUCUUAGUUGGUAGGUUUGGUAGAGUUUCAGAAGACGAUGAUAAUAUAGGAAACACCACUUCCAUUGCUUAGUACAAAGGUCAAGACAAAUAUGUCGUUUAACAAAUUCAUUUGAGAGGUAAGUAGGCGGAUAAAGUAUGUUGCGUUGAUGGUGUGCAUAACUGAUAAAGAAGAUGUGGUCUUGCACAUAAAGUGGCAGCCACUAAUGUGAUUUGCUUCUUACAAGUUGAGUGUGUGGAUUGUUAAAAAAUUUUGCGCGAUGGAGUACCCAACAAUGAGAUUAGUUGCAUGCCAAUUAUUAACUUUUUAGAAGAACGGAGACAACUUGAGCCUUUUUUUCCACCAUUUACGGGAAUCCCGAUGUUGCAAGAAGGCUUUUCAAGAUGUUGGAGAGGCUGAAUUUUGGUCUACAUUUUUCGAGAUCGAAUAGCUAGGUUCAGAGGUAUGAAAGGACUGUGAUAAGGGUUGGUCUGAUAUGCAACUUAAGGAUAAAGUGAUGGAACUCUACUUCUUCCAUGGUUUUUCACCUGUAUCUCAAACAAUGGCAAGUGCUCGACCAUCAAUACUUGCGGCUGAAAGCACCAUCAAACGGCUGUUCAAAGUUUAAUUGUCAAUUAAAAUAUGAUUAGCUUUUUGUUGCAGUGUAUGUAUUGAUUACAUUGGCCUGUAAAUUAAUGAACAUCAAUUUAUUUAUAUUGCCAUUUGUAUUUGACCAUUUUACUUAUCCUAUUUGUCAAUGGACAUCUUACUAGCAUCUAGGUUAUAGUCCUCUAUUAUUCUAUGUUAGUUCUCACUCAACAGUUAUUUUUGUUUUGUGAUGUACUUGUGACUUGUC